RNAcentral lists this long non-coding RNA (869 nucleotides) under Sus scrofa (pig). RNAcentral's name for it is "lncRNA (ENSSSCG00035057731.1)". The record is from RNAcentral. Lineage: Eukaryota; Metazoa; Chordata; Mammalia; Artiodactyla; Suidae.
AGACAAAUCAACCUUUAUUUCGAGGAGUUUUCACACGCCUCUCUCAGUAACUCCGAAAAGGAGAAGAAAAAAAUCCAGGAGCCUCCAGACGGCUGAGGAACUUGAGUCCUGCUCACCCAGUAGAUGCUGAGAGCACGGAGAGGAUCAGACCUCUGCCGGACGUGCCAGGCCGGGGGACUCCAAGGGCUGAGCACUUUUUGUAAAAAAGAAAAUGCUUAAUGCUCUUCUUGAAAGCCGCACGUUUCCUGACCUGACGUCGAAAUGACACUGUCACGUCCCGCUCUGAUCACCGCUCACGCCGUGACUCGCUGGCUCAGCUUGGCCACCCAGCAGCAGAGCGUGGACUCGGGAGCCAGCCCCGCCCUGGACACCAGCUCUGCCCAGGAAAACAGCCAAGCUGGCGGAGGAGAGGUGGGGGGAGCCAUCAGGGCCAGGUCGUCACAGCCAGCAGAGGUCAGAGCCGCCCGGUUGACCUGCAGACAGGUGGGAAACGACAGGUGGGAAACGACAGGUGGGUGGGUGAGUGGGGUUUCUAUGGGGAUGGCUUGUCACGCAGGUGUGGCGGCUGAGAGAGCCACUCACUUGUCCGGGACCGUGGGAGUCACGGCCCCCUCCCCUGUGAAGUGCAGGUAGCAGUGGCCUCCCGCUCCCAGGACGGUGACAAGGUGCAACAUGAGUAACGAAGAGCAGAGAGCGCUGCCAGCAGGAGAGUAGCUUCAUGAACAUCUGCUCUUGUCAUCACAGCCCUGGAGACUUUCCCGCCUCAGCCCUUUGCUUUUAAUUCCCCGCUGUUACCCGCAUGGAUGGAGGGUCCAUCCUUGGACGCAUGGCCCUCCCCUUUGGACAAAUCCCACGCAUGCUUUUGCGCC